AUUGAACGCUGGCGGCAUGCCUUACACAUGCAAGUCGAACGGCAGCGGGGGAGAAGCUUGCUUUUCCUGCCGGCGAGUGGCGAACGGGUGAGUAAUACAUCGGAACGUGCCCUGUAGUGGGGGAUAACUAGUCGAAAGAUUAGCUAAUACCGCAUACGACCUGAGGGUGAAAGUGGGGGACCGCAAGGCCUCAUGCUAUAGGAGCGGCCGAUGUCUGAUUAGCUAGUUGGUGGGGUAAAGGCCUACCAAGGCGACGAUCAGUAGCUGGUCUGCGAGGACGAUCAGCCACACUGGGACUGGGACACGGCCCAGACUCCUACGGGAGGCAGCAGUGGGGAAUUUUGGACAAUGGGCGAAAGCCUGAUUCAGCGAUGCCGCGUGUGUGAAGAAGGCCUUCGGGUUGUAAAGCACUUUUGUCCGGAAAGAAAUGGCUCUGGUUAAUACCUGGGGUCGAUGACAGUACCGGAAGAAUAAGGACCGGCUAACUACGUGCCAGCAGCCGCCGUAA
Molecule: ribosomal RNA, 508 nt
Filed under: uncultured bacterium
Lineage: Bacteria
Description: partial 16S ribosomal RNA
Rfam family: Bacterial small subunit ribosomal RNA
Source: RNAcentral